Chrysemys picta bellii (western painted turtle) is the source of this 513-nucleotide long non-coding RNA. RefSeq lists it as uncharacterized. The record is from RefSeq and is a predicted model, not a curated record. Lineage: Eukaryota; Metazoa; Chordata; Testudines; Emydidae.
CUUCAGACAUUUUAAUCCAAACCUUGAGCUCCCGCCGGGGAGCAGGGUCCGGGGCUCCGUGCAGCUCCUACAAGCAGCUGCAUGUCCCCCCCUCCGGCUCCGACGCAUAGGUGCACCCAAGGGGCUGAUACACUGCCCCCCGCCAUAAGUGCCCCCCCCCCCGCACCUCCCAUUGGCUCGGAACCACGGCUAAUGGGAGCUGCAGGGGCAGCACCUAUGGACAGGGCAGAGCACAGAGCUGCCUGGCCACACCUCUGCAUAGGCGCCAGAGAGGGGACAUGCUGCUACUUCUGGGAGUGGCUUGAAGUAAAAUGCCAGAGCUGUCGAGGAAUGAAGUCGCUUCACUGGAGGCGCAAGGCUUCAAGAACAACACAGGUAAACCCGUAUCAAGCGAAGGAAGAAACCCAUCUUGAGAAUAAGGAGGUAAUCCAAAAUAUCAGGAGACACAUAGUGGUGCUGGGCCUAGACAGAGAAAUGCUUUCACUCGGCAAGGUAACGUUUUUUGGUUGAGAC